This 614-nucleotide ribosomal RNA is filed under the name Aureobasidium pullulans. RNAcentral describes it as "eukaryotic LSU rRNA". It matches the Rfam family "Eukaryotic large subunit ribosomal RNA", at positions 38 to 667 of the family's 3401-position model. The record is from RNAcentral. RNAcentral also lists the same sequence under 1 other name. Lineage: Eukaryota; Fungi; Ascomycota; Dothideomycetes; Dothideales; Saccotheciaceae.
GCAUAUCAAUAAGCGGAGGAAAAGAAACCAACAGGGAUUGCCCUAGUAACGGCGAGUGAAGCGGCAACAGCUCAAAUUUGAAAGCUAGCCUUCGGGUUCGCAUUGUAAUUUGUAGAGGAUGAUUUGGGGAAGCCGCCUGUCUAAGUUCCUUGGAACAGGACGUCAUAGAGGGUGAGAAUCCCGUAUGUGACAGGAAAUGGCACCCUAUGUAAAUCUCCUUCGACGAGUCGAGUUGUUUGGGAAUGCAGCUCUAAAUGGGAGGUAAAUUUCUUCUAAAGCUAAAUAUUGGCGAGAGACCGAUAGCGCACAAGUAGAGUGAUCGAAAGAUGAAAAGCACUUUGGAAAGAGAGUUAAAAAGCACGUGAAAUUGUUGAAAGGGAAGCGCUUGCAAUCAGACUUGUUUAAACUGUUCGGCCGGUCUUCUGACCGGUUUACUCAGUUUGGACAGGCCAGCAUCAGUUUCGGCGGCCGGAUAAAGGCUCUGGGAAUGUGGCCUCCACUUCGGUGGAGGUGUUAUAGCCCAGGGUGUAAUACGGCCAGCCGGGACUGAGGUCCGCGCUUCGGCUAGGAUGCUGGCGUAAUGGUUGUAAGCGACCCGUCUUGAAACACGGACC